Molecule: long non-coding RNA, 2595 nt
Organism: Lagenorhynchus albirostris (white-beaked dolphin)
Lineage: Eukaryota; Metazoa; Chordata; Mammalia; Artiodactyla; Delphinidae
Exons: 3
Source: RefSeq, a predicted model, not a curated record
UCUCAGUUGAUUUUUCUGUCUUUCCAGAAAUGCCCUUCUUUGGACUCGCUGGUCUUGUCUGAAGUGUCCUGCCUGACACCUGUAGUCACAGUCACCCGGGUCCUUCCCUCAGGGCCUGUCACCUCCACUUAGAUCCCAUCUCCCCAUGACCUGGGACUUGUGAAGAGGCUCCACUGGGCCUAGUCCUGGGCAGGGCUUCACACCCAUGGACUGGAGAUGGGGUGUCGGUGCUACUGGGCAGCAGGGAUUACUGAGGGGCCCCAUCUGGAUGCACUGUCUGCUCUCUGAAAACCAGGAUAAAGAAGCUGUACAUGCAAGUCAGAUACGAUGAGGUUUUCUCCGGCCGUGUACAGACCUUCCUCCCGCUCUGUCACGUGAGUACCGAAGGCGGCCGGGCGUCCAGCUCCUUCAUCUGGCUCUGCUCUCAGCUGCUCGUCUGAGAUUUCCCGGAGCUCGGGCACUUCGGCCGGGUCUUCCUCAUGAGAACCAUCAGAAGACCUCUAACGGAAAGAAUCCUUAAACGGCCUUGUUUGCUGAGGGACGAAAUAAGCACUUCUGGGAAAUCGCUAAGGUCAAAACUGCCUUCUGCACGCUGUGGGCUCACACGACUGUCACGGCCGCUCAGGUCUAAGCGGUGUGUUGGCAACAGACCUGCACAGACUGGACAGGAGCUGCUCUCUGCAUAUGUUUAGUUCUUUAGUUCUUAACUGCGACAAAAUCCUGGAAAACAGUUAAAUAAAUAGAAACAGAAAACAGACCCUCAAGACUGUCCAGUCCUCACACAAAGGCACCUCGCGCCGUUGUGGGAAGACCCGCCAGAGAAGACCCGCCACCCAAGACGCCCCCAGACCACCAUAACUCAGACCAGCCUUCACCCCUCCGCCCCUGACCCCGGCAUGCGAGAAGGGAACGCACCUUCUCAAGAUCCAGGGAAGUCCAAGAUACCUUCCUGAACGUAAAUCCUAACGCUACAGUGGAUAUAUAUAUAUAUAUAUAUUUUUUUUUAAAUAUUUAUUUGGCUGCGCCAGGUCUCAGUUGCAGCACGGGGGAUCUUUGCUGCGGCAUGAACAUGACCAGUGGCACUCUCUUUGUAAAGGGGCCUUCGGGGAUGCUGUGCUGGGCACCUUCUCUGCCCGAGCAGCCAUUUAUGAUGAAGCUGAAGCCUCUUGUUAGAUUCUGAAAGAAGCUUGUCAACAAUGUCUGAUUUUAUUACAUUUUCCAUUCAUUUUUUCUCUCUGCCUUGCCUAAAAUAGGAAAAACGAAAAGUUCUAAACUUCAAGAACAAGUAUGGCCAUUAUUUUAAAAGCACCAAGGAGCGAUGACGUUGAGUGGCCUGUGCCCUGGCUCCCUAGUCUGUCAGCUUUCACGUGAACCCAGAAAGGACUCAGCAUUCCAAACCACACACAACUGCCAGACUCUGAAUGCAUCUAAAGUGCAAACAUUCAGCCUCCAAGUCCAGGGGUGCUGUACACACUACAGCAGUGGACUGGUGUAGACUCUGGCUAAACAUCUGUAGUAAUUAUAACUAUGAACCCAGCUCAAUUCACCUCUUUACAGAUUCCUAAACGAUUAAGAGAUUUAAGUAUCUGAUUAUGUUGCACUUCUUGUAACUGCUUUUUUGCCUAAAAUAGGAAAAACAAAAACUUACAGACUUCAAGAACAAGUAUGGUCAGUGUUUUAAAAGCACCAAGGAGUGACGACAGGCGUGGCCUGUGCCCUGGCUCCGUAGGCUGUCGCCUCCCACUGCUAUCUCCUAGUGGACUCCUGCACCAUCACCAGAGCUGACUCACAGGUACAGAGAAGGGCAGGGACAUUGUUCGUUAGAAGGUCCCUCCCCACUGCUUCUGUUCAACAAAGGACCCAGGGAGCCUCAGGAGUGUCACCAGCCAUUAACUGUCAGAUGGACUCAGCGAGCAGAUUUACAUGCAGAAACAAGCGUAUUUUAAAGGGCAUCAGCUUAUAUACACAUUGGUGGAGGAAUUUCCCAGUGUGUAAACCGAAGAUUGAGUCUGGAUUAAGCCGCUUGUGGGCUCUUCGUCAUGGCAUGCAUGUGGGAUCUAGUUCCCUGACCAGGGAUCAAACCCGGGCCCCUGCACUGGAAACGCAGAGUCCAACCCACUGGACCACCAGUGAAGUCCCUGGCUCUGCUCUUGACUGCUCAUCUAAGAUUUCCUGGAGCUCGAUCACUUUAGCCAGGUCUUCCUCGUGGCUUAGGGAACAACCAGAAAGAAUCCUUAAAACAGCCUUGUUUGGUGAGGGAUGAAAUAAAGCACCUCCGGGAAAUCGCCAAGGUCAAAACUGCCUUCUGCACGCAGUGGCCUCACACUCUCAUGGCCGCUCAGGAGAGAGUCAGAGGGGUCAGAAAUCACUGCCUCAGCCCAGUGAGUCCACCACCCACCACAAGAAUGGGACCACCAGAAAUCAUUCCCUCCGAAAGUGAGGGCAAAACGGGGAAAUGAGGUUAAGGGUGGGAGGCAAAGUGGGAGACAUUAAAUCCCUGUGGAACGUGAACUACAAGGUACUCAUACUUUAAAGUGGUUUCUAAGUGGCGUAUUGCUCUUAUAAUUUUCUAACCAGUAAAAAAUGUAAAUCACA